RNAcentral lists this ribosomal RNA (253 nucleotides) under uncultured bacterium. RNAcentral describes it as "partial 16S ribosomal RNA". It matches the Rfam family "Bacterial small subunit ribosomal RNA", at positions 524 to 776 of the family's 1533-position model. The record is from RNAcentral.
UACAGAGGUCCCAAGCGUUGUUCGGAUUCACUGGGCGUAAAGGGUGCGUAGGUGGUUAGGUAAGUCCGAUGUGAAAUCUCCAGGCUCAACCUGGAAAUGGCAUUGGAUACUAUCUAGCUUGAGGAGUGGAGGGGGGACUGGAAUUCUCGGUGUAGCAGUGAAAUGCGUAGAUAUCGAGAGGAACACCAGUGGCGAAGGCGAGUCCCUGGACACUUCCUGACGCUGAGGCGCGAAAGCGUGGGGAGCAAACAGG